CUGGUGUGUUGGUGGGGCCUGGAAUCCCAGCUAUUUGGGAGGCUGAGGUAGAAGAAUUGCUUGAACCAGGAGGUGGAGGCUGCAGUGAGCUGAGAUUGUGCCACUGUACUCCAGCCUGGAUGACAGAGCGAGACUUUGUCUCAAAAAAAAAAAAAAUUAUUUCCAUCAUCAGGACAAUCCCAAGUAUGUCUCAUUCCCAAAUGACAGGUGAAUGGGCCAUAAACCUAGGUGUCGUCCUCGGCUCAAGCACCUAUAUAGUAGGAAACAGGCCCUAGAAGUUGAGUGAAGUCCAGAGCUGUCAUGGGGCACUCUGCUGUGCCAUUAGCUUCUUCCUCCCUUUGGAACUCAGUUUUCUCAUCUAAAGAAUGGCGGUGUUUGCUCCAGAACCGCUAAUAUCCAGGUUGGGACUUUGUGUUGCUGUGAGCCCAGGUCCCCAGCCUGAAGCCUAGGACAACCCCCUGAGCUUGGGUGGGAGAGAAGGGCAAUGCAGACGUGACUGUCCUGCCAGGCGGGGGCGCCGCCACCAGACGCACGAAAACAACCAAAUAAAUCAGGCCCAGGAACUCCUAAUCCUUCCCGGCUGUGGCUGCUACCGCUCGCCCGGCCUGGGAGGUAGGCACCGCCCGGCCAAGGGCUCAGAGUCGGGCCAGCAGAGCCGAAGUGAUGUCCGGCCAUCCAGGCCAUCCAGGCGUCCUCAGCCCUCGAGGGACACUGGAUUGAUGGCUGAGGCUUUGCUGUGCCACCACAGGAGAUGGGGACACACCAUCCUGGAGCAGGAACUGUGGCUAACCUGAAGUGCAACAAAUGAGCAGAAUUAAUCUCUGUGAUGAUACACAUUAUUGGGUCUCAGGACCCAGCCUCCCAAGGUAAGGCUGGUUAUUUCUGAUCAUUAUGUCGGACCUUGGGGAGGAGGUAGGAACAGCCUCUCUAUUCAUGGAAAUCUUCCAUCAUCCUCUCCAGCUAAUUCACUUUCAGAGACUACAGUAGGCCCUCAGCUUUCUCUCCUUCUUUUCUUUUUUUUUCACCUGUUCUGAACAAAGGCAGUCUCCCCCUUUUCAAAGCUUCACUUCCAGAACUGCCUGUAGUCCCUUGAUUUAUUCACCUCCCACCCCACUCUACAACCCACCUCAACGCUGGUUCUUCCCAUAGUAAUGACUCCAGCCCAGCCCCUCAUUCUGAGUUCCAGCCCUGUGUGCUCCACUGCCUGCUUUCUACUUGACAUCCCCACUUGACCAUCUCAAAGUUAACAUGCCUGCUGUGGUUUGAAUGUGUCCUCCCAAAUGCAUGUGUUGGAAACUUAAUCUCCAAUGCAAUGGUGUUGGGAGAUGGGUCUAAUGGGGGGGGGCAUGUUUCAGUCAUGAGGGUACCACCCUCAUGAAUGGAUUAACGCUGAUUAUAAAAGAGCUUGGGGUCUGGCAUGGUGACUCAUGCCUGUAAUCCCAGCACUUUGGGAGGCUGAGGCGGGCAGAUCACCUGAGGUCAGGAGUUUGAGACAAGCCUGGCUAACAUGGUGAAACCCCGUUUCUCCUAAAAAAAAAAAAAAAAUACAAAAAAUUAGCUGGGCAUGGUGAUGCAUGCCUGUAGUCCCAGCUACUCAGGAGGCUGAGGCAGAAGAAUUGCUUGAAACCGGGAGGCGGAGGUUGCAGUGAGCCAAGAUUGCAUCAUUGCACUCCAGCCUGGUCAACAAGAGUGAAAAUCUGUCUCAAAAAAAAAAAAAAAAGAGCUUGGGUCUUUGAAUUCAAUCUCUUGCUCUCUUUUUCUCUUUCUCUCUCUCUCACCCUUCUGCCUUCUGCCAUAACAUGAUGCAGCAAGAAAGACCUCGCCAGAUGAGGGCCCCACAACCUUGGACUUCCCAGACUCCAGAGCUGCAAGAAAUAAAUCUCUGUUCUUUAUAAAUUACCCAGUCUCGGGCAUUAUUAUAGCAGCACAAAACAGACUAAGAUAAUGCCCAAGGCCAAAUUCAUGACUGUCUCCGUCAAAGCUGGUCCUCUUCCUGUACCUGUAAGCCAAUGACAGGGUCGUCCAUCCAAGUGUGUAAGACAGAAGGCCUGGUGCCAUCCUUGGCUCCUCUCUGAUACCCAGUCCACACCAGGCGCUGAGUGCUGACAAUUCUACCCUCUACACACAUAGAAAUUCCAUUCCUCCUCCACAGCGCCCUCUAGUUAAAGUCUCCUUCACGCACAUCACCUCCUUACUGGUCUCUCGGCAUCCACCCUCACUCUUCAGUGUCCCUGCCCCCACCAAUCCAUUUUCCAUCCACUCAAGAGAAAUCGUGUUGAGGUAGAAAUCUGAUCAUGCCAGUCCCCUGCUCAACA
This is a long non-coding RNA of Aotus nancymaae (Ma's night monkey), 2315 nucleotides long. The record is from Ensembl. Lineage: Eukaryota; Metazoa; Chordata; Mammalia; Primates; Aotidae.